Molecule: ribosomal RNA, 379 nt
Filed under: uncultured eukaryote
Lineage: Eukaryota
Description: partial 18S ribosomal RNA
Rfam family: Eukaryotic small subunit ribosomal RNA
Source: RNAcentral
CAAUAGCGUAUAUUAAAGUUGUUGCAGUUAGAACGCUCGUAGUCGGAUUUCGGGGCGGGCCGACCGGUCUGCCGAUGGGUACGCACUGGUCGGCGCGUCCUUCCUUCCGGAGACCGUGCCUACUCUUAACUGAGCGGGGGCGGGAGACGGAUCGUUUACUUUGAAAAAAUCAGAGUGUUUCAAGCAGGCAGCUCGCUCUUGCAUGGAUUAGCAUGGGAUAAUGAAAUAGGACUUUGGUGCUAUUUUGUUGGUUUCGAACACCGAAGUAAUGAUUAAAAGGGACAGUCAGGGGCACUCGUAUUCCGCCGAGAGAGGUGAAAUUCUCAGACCAGCGGAAGACGAACUACUGCGAAAGCAUUUGCCAGGGAUGUUUUCACUG